RNAcentral lists this ribosomal RNA (384 nucleotides) under uncultured Ralstonia sp. Its description in RNAcentral is "bacterial SSU rRNA". It matches the Rfam family "Bacterial small subunit ribosomal RNA", at positions 523 to 907 of the family's 1533-position model. The record is from RNAcentral. Lineage: Bacteria; Pseudomonadati; Pseudomonadota; Betaproteobacteria; Burkholderiales; Burkholderiaceae.
AUACGUAGGGUCCAAGCGUUAAUCGGAAUUACUGGGCGUAAAGCGUGCGCAGGCGGUUGUGCAAGACCGAUGUGAAAUCCCCGAGCUUAACUUGGGAAUUGCAUUGGUGACUGCACGGCUAGAGUGUGUCAGAGGGGGGUAGAAUUCCACGUGUAGCAGUGAAAUGCGUAGAGAUGUGGAGGAAUACCGAUGGCGAAGGCAGCCCCCUGGGAUAACACUGACGCUCAUGCACGAAAGCGUGGGGAGCAAACAGGAUUAGAUACCCUGGUAGUCCACGCCCUAAACGAUGUCAACUAGUUGUUGGGGAUUCAUUUCCUUAGUAACGUAGCUAACGCGUGAAGUUGACCGCCUGGGGAGUACGGUCGCAAGAUUAAAACUCAAAGG